This 403-nucleotide ribosomal RNA is filed under the name Weissella paramesenteroides. RNAcentral's name for it is "bacterial SSU rRNA". It matches the Rfam family "Bacterial small subunit ribosomal RNA", at positions 56 to 424 of the family's 1533-position model. The record is from RNAcentral. Lineage: Bacteria; Bacillati; Bacillota; Bacilli; Lactobacillales; Lactobacillaceae.
UGCAGUCGACGCUUUGUCUUUAAUUGAUCUGACGAGCUUGCUCUGAUUUGAUUUUAUCUGACAAAGAGUGGCGAACGGGUGAGUAACACGUGGGUAACCUACCUCUUAGCAGGGGAUAACAUUUGGAAACAAGUGCUAAUACCGUAUAAUACCAACAACCGCAUGGUUGUUGGUUGAAAGAUGGUUCUGCUAUCACUAAGAGAUGGACCCGCGGUGCAUUAGCUAGUUGGUAAGGUAACGGCUUACCAAGGCUAUGAUGCAUAGCCGAGUUGAUAGACUGAUCGGCCACAAUGGGACUGAGACACGGCCCAUACUCCUACUGGAGGCAGCAGUAUGUAAUCUUCCACAAUGGGCGCAAGCCUGAUGGAAGCAACGCCGCGUGUGUGAUGAAGGGUUUCGGCUC